Long non-coding RNA from Gadus chalcogrammus (walleye pollock), 152 nucleotides. RefSeq lists it as uncharacterized. NCBI's taxonomy places the organism in Eukaryota, Metazoa, Chordata, Actinopteri, Gadiformes, Gadidae. The record is from RefSeq and is a predicted model, not a curated record. The transcript is spliced from 3 exons.
AAACAAGGUGAAAUUAGUUAACCUCUGUCGGUCGGCCUUCGUCAUUCCCAUCAUCAUUCUGGUCAUUCUUUAUUGCUGGAGGAAAAAGAAGCAUCAUACAGAAAACCUUGAUUCUGAACAGAGUCCAAACUGUGACCAAGCUGAUGCCAUCU